This 224-nucleotide ribosomal RNA is filed under the name uncultured bacterium. RNAcentral describes it as "partial 16S ribosomal RNA". It matches the Rfam family "Bacterial small subunit ribosomal RNA", at positions 93 to 334 of the family's 1533-position model. The record is from RNAcentral.
UAGUGGCGCACGGGUGCGUAACGCGUGGGAAUCUGCCCUUCGGUUCGGAAUAACAGUUAGAAAUGACUGCUAAUACCGGAUAAUGACGUAAGUCCAAAGAUUUAUCGCCGAAGGAUGAGCCCGCGUAGGAUUAGCUAGUUGGUGAGGUAAAAGCUCACCAAGGCGACGAUCCUUAGCUGGUCUGAGAGGAUGAUCAGCCACACUGGGACUGAGACACGGCCCAG